UGGGGAAUAUUGCACAAUGGGCGCAAGCCUGAUGCAGCGACGCCGCGUGGGGGAUGACGGCCUUCGGGUUGUAAACUCCUUUCGCCAGGGACGAAGCGUUUUGUGACGGUACCUGGAGAAGAAGCACUGGCUAACUACGUGCCAGCAGCCGCGGUAAUACGUAGGGUGCAAGCGUUGUCCGGAAUUACUGGGCGUAAAGAGCUCGUAGGUGGUUUGUCACGUCGUCUGUGAAAUUCCACAGCUUAACUGUGGGCGUGCAGGCGAUACGGGCUGACUUGAGUACUGUAGGGGUAACUGGAAUUCCUGGUGUAGCGGUGAAAUGCGCAGAUAUCAGGAGGAACACCGAUGGCGAAGGCAGGUUACUGGGCAGUUACUGACGCUGAGGAGCGAAAGCAUGGGUAGCAAACAGGAUUAGAUACCCUGGUAGUCCAUGCCGUAAACGGUGGGCGCUAGGUGUAGGGGCCUUUUGGGGUUUCUGUGCCGUAGCUAACGCAUUAAGCGCCCCGCCUGGGGAGUACGGCCGCAAGGCUA
Molecule: ribosomal RNA, 531 nt
Filed under: uncultured bacterium
Lineage: Bacteria
Description: bacterial SSU rRNA
Rfam family: Bacterial small subunit ribosomal RNA
Source: RNAcentral